AUGGCUGCUGGAAGACAUGGGGGUUAUCGUGAAAAUGAGUUCAGGGAACGAGAGUCCGGUUUUGAGUUGCCAAGAAAGGAUUUUGCUACGGCCAAGGAGGACUAUGAACGGAUUAGGAACGGAAACCCUGAUGUUGAAAGGGGUCAAGUUAGGGAUUUGAGAGAUAAAAUUAGGGUUAGGCAGAAGGAUUUUAAGGAGGGGAAUGCGGCUAAUGGUGGUGGGUAUCGCUCCUCUUCGAGUAGGAGUGAUUCAAGCAAUAGCAGUGGUCGGGUUGUGAGCCGUGGGCCCAAGCCUUGUGGGUUUUCUCUUAGGGCAUUGGACAGGGAACCUGGUGAAUUGUCGAGUGAGAGUGGGUCUGACGAUGCUAUUGAAUCUGCAGUGCAGGUCAAAGAAAAUAUGGUUCCAAAAGUGGUGGAGAAUGGAACUCAGUCUCCGAAAGAGAGGAAAAGGAAGUUUUCGCCAAUUGUCUGGGAUAGAGAUGACCAAGGAGUGAGUAAUCUAUCAAAAAAUAGGAUUACCACAGUGGCAGCAGCACUUCCUCCACAACCUCCAUUGUCUAGGGUACAUCAUCAGUCUCCCAAUGUUAUUUCAGAUAACAGCGUACAAAUAUCUUCAGCUAAAAUUGAUCAAGUCGAGAAUUUACAAUCUUCCUCACCAGUUAAGGCACCGGUGGGAUCUCGGUCUGUUAGCAAUGGUGUUUCUGAGUCUCCAUUAGGGAUAUCUUCAACAAAUCAGAAAUCGGGUGAUGAUCAUGAAGCAGAGCAGCUAGGAGAUGAAGAAUAUGUUCCCACCCGGAAUAUAUCAUCUUCAAGAUGGGCAGCAGGAAAUAAUUCACCUGGGGAUGAAGGUGAAAUUCUAGAGAACAAGGAAAUGCCUAAAAGGAGGAAGAAAAUACCUCUGGUAGGGUUAGUGGAAGAUAGAGUACAGAAUAAUUCAUUAACCCCCGAGUCAGGGGAGCUUAAGAGAGACGAGUCUGAACGAGCAAGAGGGCAGUCAUCUGAAUCUGAUGAAGGAGAUGCCCAUACAAGGUCUUCCAGUAGGGAUGUUUACCAGGAUAAUGAUUCAGAGAGGGAUGACUAUAUGGACACUGACAAGGAUCUUGGUAAUAAUGAUUCUAGUGUUAGUCAGUCAGAAACAAAUUCAGAUGAUGACAAUAACUCUCGUGAGACAGCUGAACCUGCAGCCCCUCCACAAAGAAGUGUAAACAUGCUUCAGGGUUGUAGAAGUGUUGACGAGUUUGAGAGACUAAACAAGAUAGAUGAAGGCACUUAUGGUGUUGUAUAUAGAGCUAUGGAUAAGAAAACUAAAGAAAUUGUGGCCUUGAAGAAGGUAAAGAUGGAGAAGGAAAGGGAAGGUUUUCCAUUGACUUCUCUUAGGGAAAUAAACAUUCUUCUUUCGCUUCAUCACCCAUCAAUUGUCGAUGUGAAGGAAGUAGUGGUGGGGAGUAACCUUGAUAGUAUUUUUAUGGUGAUGGAAUACAUGGAACAUGAUCUUAAAGCACUCAUGGAGACAAAGAAGCAGCCAUUCAGUCAGAGUGAAGUUAAAUGCCUUAUGCUCCAGUUAUUAGCAGGUGUGAAAUAUCUCCAUGAUAAUUGGGUGCUUCAUCGAGAUUUGAAGACAUCAAACUUGCUUAUGAAUAACCGGGGUGAGUUGAAAAUAUGUGACUUUGGGUUGGCUCGUCAGUAUGGGAGUCCUUUAAAACCAUAUACUCAUUUGGUGGUUACUCUUUGGUACAGGGCACCGGAACUUCUGUUGGGAGUGAAGGAAUAUUCAACAGCUAUCGAUAUGUGGUCACUUGGUUGUAUCAUGGCUGAACUAUUAUCAAAGGAGCCACUUUUCAAUGGGAAAACUGAAUUUGAUCAACUUGACAAGAUUUUUAAAAUCCUUGGCACACCAAAUGAGACGAUCUGGCCCGGCUAUUCCAAGCUUCCUGGAGUGAAGGUCAACUUUGUUAAGCACCCGUAUAAUCUUUUGCGCAAGAAGUUCCCAGCUACGGCAUUUACUGGAUCUCCAGUACUUUCUGAUGCUGGGUUUAAUUUGUUGAACAGGCUUCUAACUUAUGAUCCUGAGGAGAGAAUUACAGCUGGAGAUGCUCUGAAUCAUGAGUGGUUUCGUGAAGUUCCUCUUCCUACAACAAAGGAGUUCAUGCCUACCUUUCCUGCUCAACAUGCUCAGGACAGGCGCACACGGAGAGUUUUAAAGAGUCCAGAUCCUUUGGAAGAGCAACGUAGAAAGGAGUUGCAGCAAGGGCAAAUAGGAACUGGUGGUGUGUUUGGCUAGUAGAAAUGAAUCAGUGAUCAGCGCCCUAUUGCACAUGGCUGAGGUGAGAGACAUGCUUUGAACGGAAGUUGCAAACGUUCUAUGUCAGACGAUCAUUUGUGCUGUUUUUUAGCAGGCAUUUCUUCAUGAUUUGGUUGGAGAAUGUAUUAUUGUAUGCCUUCCCUGUCAACCAAGAUUUGUUGCAGGUGUAAAGUGGAGGGGCGUUCUUUACUUUUCCUUGAUGAAGAGUUUGUCAGUUACCAUAUUAUUUUUAAAGUAUCAAAGCAAGCAAAUUGAGGAGGUUUCCUGCACUUCCAGGAAUUUAUAGAACUUCAAUUAGUUGUUCCUACUGGCAAACUAGAGAAGAGUAUUGAGAAAUGCGUUAGAAAGGAAAAUGAAGAAUAAAAACCAAUUCUGGUUGCAAUUCCAGGACAGUUCAUAUUCCAAUUCUGGUUGCAAUUCCAGGACAGUUCAUAUAAUUGAAUAAAAUUCAAUGCUGCUUAAAAUCGGAAUGCAUAGACUGAAAUGGCAUGGCUGGAGUCGAAUGGGUUGCUUGAAGACGGAAUAUAGUUGUUCGCUUCCCAUUCACUUAACCAAAUAUCGUAUGAGGAGAUCCUAGGUGGAAUAUAGACAUAGUUUGCCAUAUAUUGUCUGCAGGUGGGGGGCUGAUGAGGUUCGACAGGCAGAUUAGGGCGGUAGAGGCGUUUCCCGCGCACGUACAGGUAUUGGCUGAUGAAGUUUAUGCACGAUCACAGCUAUUGAUCUGCCUAUGUGCGACUCAAAUUCUGUUCCACAUGACCGAAAAUGUUAGGUUGUUUUUGGGCGCUGAGCAGUCAGUAGGGUAUUGAUGUCAUUCGUUUUCGAUCCAUUCCAAAUAUUUGAUGUUUAGUUUACGCUGUAUUCUGUGUCGCGCGGCAAAGAAACCUUGGUACCGAGGUGAAAAUUGUUGCAAUUGGGUUCGGCAGACGUGUUGGUCUUUUGGAAGGUGCACAGCAAAUGGGCGCUGUGCUGCCUCGUCUCAAAGGAUGUCUUCCUUUUUUCUGGCGGAUGGUGCAAUCCUCUUCGUUGCGUUCCUUUUUGGUUUCUGUUUGUAAAUAAUAACUCGACUUACCUGUCCGAGUUACGUGUUCGCAUUUUAGCUUGUUGCACGACAAUCCGAAACUCUGAGGACAGCUUUUGCAACUUCAAAACUUUAGAGAACCUUCGGUGUCUA
Molecule: non-coding RNA, 3472 nt
Organism: Malus domestica (apple)
Lineage: Eukaryota; Viridiplantae; Streptophyta; Magnoliopsida; Rosales; Rosaceae
Source: RefSeq, a predicted model, not a curated record